Molecule: long non-coding RNA, 2280 nt
Filed under: Cottoperca gobio
Lineage: Eukaryota; Metazoa; Chordata; Actinopteri; Perciformes; Bovichtidae
Description: lncRNA (ENSCGOG00000019262.1)
Source: RNAcentral
GACGAUAUGGCGCUGACGCAAAAGGCGGAACAAAUGUGCCCCAACAUUCUAGUCGGACCCUUUAACUCAAACCUUUAGAGUGUUACACCGCGUGAGGCUGGCUGACACAUGGCUGAAGCCGAACGAUUCCAACCUACCAAUUACCUGACGAGAGGAAGAAGCAAGAACCACGAAGAAUUAAAGAAACACUUCCAUGAUGCUGCAGGCAGCACGGGAUACAUUUCUUGGCAUCUGAAAGCAAUCCAACGCAAGAUUUGUCGAGGAUCUGCACCAUCACCAAAUAGCCCUAUGGACACUUCUCCCAAAUGUCCAGCGAGCUGUUAAUGUACAAAGACAGCUGGAUGGGGAUGCUUGCCAAGGGGUUAUGUCUUUGCUCAACCAUACCACAGACAAUUCCCUGAUUUUUCAGAAAAUGAGAGAAACCUUUCAGCACCGUCAGACGCUUGUUAAUGACCCAAGCAGAGGUGUUGAUAUCCUCUCCACCAUCCCAAGAUUCCUGGAUACCAAAGGAUUGGUGGAUCAAGACUUCACUCUCCUAUUUGAUCAUGAAACAUCCUCCAGGCUCCUUCAGAAAUGGGAUGUGUUCUUCAGUCCAAAUGUCAUGAAAGAGGCUAAGUGGCUUACUUCAGCACCCAGAGUUGCGUCGCUUGUUGCAGAGAGUCCCACAGGAAGUGAUCUUGAUGAGACAACAAUCAUGCUGCAGUUUGGAGGAGCAUCUCCGCAACCAGCAGGGUCGGCAGCCAUACCUCCUCGCUGUUGGGCGUCAGAAGAGCAAGAUUGACAGCUUCUACAUCACCAUGGAUAAGCAUCUCAUCCCACGGCAGGCAAACCGUUCCCUACCUUGGGGCUUUCGACAAACUUUCCAAAACCCAUUUUGUGUUUAAUUUGUCGUACGAUGCUGCGUUACUGAAUUUUUACCCAUUCUUGCAGGACAACAGUGUAUAACAUUGAUGUGGGGAAAAUAAAGGAGUCACCCAGAGUCAGAGACUGCUUGAAGACUGCUUGACCAGCUAGUACCGGUCUCACUCUCUGAGUAAGAGGCUAAAACAAUACUGACCGGUUUCAUGUGUCAGAAUGUGUAUCCCAGCAGCCAGAAGUUGAUGGUGUUAUACUGGAACCGUUGAUAAAUUAUAUAAAAUUACUGAAAACCCAAGGCCUUAGUCUUAGUAGUGUUUGAUUGAGAGGAAUGAUUCUCAAACAGUAUACUGUGAGGAAGAUCCCAAAGUGAUCCUUCGUGGAAAACAUAUGUUUGAUAUGCAUUACAAAUGUCUCCAAGACAAUCCACAAUUGAAUUCCUUGCAUGGUUUGAAAAAGACUUCUACACUUAACUCAUUGAAUUAUUUCCAUGUUUGAAAUAAUUACUAAUUUGAUAUAAUGCAUGACCUUCUUGAGGGUGUGACUCAGUGUGAGAUCAAAUUGCUUUUUGAAUAUCUCACAAAAGACUUAAUAUCACAACAGAAUUUGCUUUCCGGGAUUUAUGGUGUUGACUACGGAUUUGUAAAACGAAAGAAAUGUCCCACAAAGAUAAUUUUGGACAGUGCUGGCAAUGGCAUUGGUUUGAAUUCUAUUCAGACAUUGUGUCUUGUGAAAAACAUCCCACUGUUUGGUGACAUCAUUCCUGCAGGAAACGAAAACUGGAAUGUGUUACUUGUUGUUACUUAAAAUAAUGAACAUGGUUGUGUCACUUUUUCUCACUCUAGGUACGACAAUAUAUUUAAAGCAUUUGAUUGUUGACCACCACAAACUAUUUAAGUACUUGUAUCCACAUAGAAACUUGCUACCGAAGCAUCAUUUUAUGACCCACUGUAUAUGUGGUCUAUGAGGUGUGAAGCCAAAGACAAGAUGUUUAAAGAUUAUUUCAAAAACAUAACAAAAUCACUUGCGAAUAAGCAUCAGAUGGCUAUUGCUUAUCACUGGGAAACCUUCACCCUCAAAUAAAAAGAGUAUGGUCCAAUUAAGACUUAUUCCCUCAGAGACGUGAAUGUGGUCAACAAUGAAAUGCUUGAAAUGAUUUUGUCAAAAGAUGUUUUCUCAACUAGUUGGGUUAAAGUUGAUGGUGUGUAGAAUAUACAUGUGGACUUGUUUUGUCUUUUGUCAAAUAUGUGAUGUACUUUUGGUUGAAGGUAACACAUUUUGUUUAUUAACAAACAAGCUAUUCACUGAGAAUUCUUUUGAUGACCAUCAUCGUGCAUUUCGAGUGUUACAAAGUGAGGAAAGGUUCAUAAUAAAAAUGUCUGAGCUUAAAUUCCAUAAGCCAUUUUAUAGCCAAAGCUCAUACAA